CCUUAUUCAUUAAAAAUAUGUGUCUAAAGGAGUUACGAGAUGUGAUCUAGUUAUGACUGAGGAGCUACCCCAAAUAACUGGCUCCCGUAGGGGAACAGAAAAGUGAAUACUAACUACUAAAUGGAAGAAUGUUUGAUGCAUCCAAUCCAUGUGACGUUACUGAGAGAUGCAAGGUGCUCUAGCUGCUGUUUCCUCCAGUCGCCGUGCAACUUCCAUGCACCAACACUUGCUGGAUCUGACUAA
This 243-nucleotide long non-coding RNA is filed under the name Numida meleagris (helmeted guineafowl). RNAcentral's name for it is "lncRNA (ENSNMEG00000001251.1)". Lineage: Eukaryota; Metazoa; Chordata; Aves; Galliformes; Numididae. The record is from RNAcentral.